This 1998-nucleotide ribosomal RNA is filed under the name Lepocinclis tripteris. RNAcentral describes it as "SSU rRNA". It matches the Rfam family "Eukaryotic small subunit ribosomal RNA", at positions 101 to 1657 of the family's 1831-position model. Lineage: Eukaryota; Euglenozoa; Euglenophyceae; Euglenales; Phacaceae. The record is from RNAcentral.
UUACAUCAGCAGUCAUCUCCGUGAUAGAGUGUGGAUGGCACCACCCUGCCAGGUGCUCACUUGGACAUCCUCCAAAACCUAGUGGCUAAUACACGUUCGCCCAGGUCUGCCACAUCACGGCCUUGCCAGAUCCAAACCCUGGCUUGACCAGCGGUGGAUUGCACCCAGCCGAUUUGAAGACCAGCGCCUGGAAAUGGCAGCGUGUUUGUGGUUGACUCAGGCUGGUCCCUCAGUGGACACCUGCGCUGGCAGAGUGGUGGCUUCGGCCACAGCAUUGCUUGAUCACACGAACUUCUGAUCUAUCAGCCUUGAUGGUGGUGUAGUGGACCACCAUGGCAGUGACGGAUAACGGAGAAUCAGGGUUCGAUUCCGGAGAGGGAGCCUGAGAGAUGGCUACCACUUCUAAGGAGGGCAGCAGGCACGCAAAUUGCCCAAUGCUGAGACAUUUCUGGUGAGGCAGCGACGAACUGCAGCAAUUCCGCUUGUCCUUGUGACCAGUGGAACUUGGAAUGGAUGCAAUCCAAACACAGUGAUGAGUAUCAACUGGAGGGCAAGUCUGGUGCCAGCAGCUGCGGUAAUUCCAGCUCCAAGAGCGUAUACUGAUGUUGCUGCUGUUAAAACACUUGUAGUCUGAUGCUGGGUUCAGGUCUGCUGGGUGGCGGUGGUGGGCUGUCUGCCUCCUCCUUCCCCUCGGGGUUGGGUGGGGUGGGUGGUUUGCUGCCGAUACAACCCCCAGCAGUAUGUUCCUGCACCCAAACUGAGGAUGGUACGAACUGCUCCUGCUCCAAGUCUCCUUCAGUGGGGACCGAUGCGGUUGCAUACCCAACGCCUGUGAUCCUGACGGUCAAGGGGCAGGGCCCUGUGUCCUGCAUUCAUCCCUCGUCAACCACCGGAGUCUACCAUUGUUGACACCCUGGAGAACUCAGUGUGCCCAAAGCAUCCACUUCGGCUGGAUGCACGUCCAUGGAAUGUCAUAGCAUUGACCAGAUGCGGCUAUGGAGUUGUGCUGGCCUUGGUGCCCAUUCUGGGCAACCUGCCGUCUGCUGGUACCCUCGGGGUGGGGGUUCGGCCUGCCCUCGGGCAGUGCUGGGCUCUUUCACACCGUGGGAACCCAGUGGCGGCGAUCACUCUCGAGGGGACUGCUCGGGGUGGAAGGUAUUGCAACGCCAGAGGUGAAAUUCUCAGAUCGCUGCAAGACCAACUGCGGCGAAGGCGUUCUGCAAGUGCAUGUUCGUCGAUCAAGAAUGUGAGUGUGGGGAGCGAAGAUGAUCAGACACCGUCGUAGUCCACAACUGUGAACCAUGCCAGCUCGGCGUUGAGGGUGCUACUAUCCAGCACACCCCCAGCGCCAUGCCCCCUAAAACGAGAAAUCUGAAGCCUUCGGGUUCAGGGGGGAGUACUGUCGCAAGGCUGAAACUUAAAGGAAUUGACGGAAUGGCACCACAAGGCGUGGAGUAUGCGGCUUAAUUUGACUCAACACGGGGAAUGUUACCAGGUCAGGACGUUGCUGGGAUGGACAGAUUGAGAGCUCUUUCUUGAUCCUUCGGAUGGUGGUGCAUGGCCGCUCCUGAUUGGUGGAGUGAUUUGUCUGGUUGAUUCCGAUAACGAGUGAGACAUCUGCCUCCCAAUAGCCCCAGCCUCGUACUUGUAGGGUGGCUGUGGGUGCCCUGGGCUGGGUUCGCUUGGUUCCAGGCCCCACGGUUCUGCCUGAGAGGCCCUGGGUUCAGCUUCUCUGAGGUGCUGUGUACGCUACCAAGUGCAUGCAUGCUAGAGCCAACAGCAGGUCUGUGAUGCUCCCAGAUGUCCUGGGCCGCACGCGCACUACAUUGAUCUGGUGAAUGUGUUCUGCACUCCCUUUGUGGAGGCCUGCCUGGAAGUGGGUGGGAAACCCCUGGAGCCCAUUGAUCGUACUGGGGAUAGAUGAUUGCAACUGUCUGCCUUGAACGAGGAAUGCCUAGUAUGCGCAGGUCAUCAGCCUGCACCGAUUGUGUCCCUGCC